This 2045-nucleotide long non-coding RNA is filed under the name Mustela putorius furo (domestic ferret). Its description in RNAcentral is "lncRNA (ENSMPUG00000024290.1)". Lineage: Eukaryota; Metazoa; Chordata; Mammalia; Carnivora; Mustelidae. The record is from RNAcentral.
AUGGCCGGACCUGCUCCAGGAUGCCGGGCCGGCGGGGGCUCUGGUACCAGCUUCCGCCCUGACACGGGCGGGCGGGGGCCGGAGACAGAGAUCCCGCCACCAGAGGGGAGGAGGGUCAGGCAGUGCGUGGACAUAUUUAAAUCGACCACAGAGGAGGAUUCCUAUCGUCUCCAUUUCACGGAUGACACAGCUGACGCACAGAGAAGUCAAGUGGGUGGCCCAGGGUCACACAGCUGGUUAGCGGAGGAGCCUGGAUCUGAGCCCAGAGUCAUGACCCCCUCCCUGUGUUACAGUUCCGGGGUUCCUGUUACUCUGACCCUCCUGCCUGGAUCCCAGAGCAAAAUCCUUCUAGUUAGAGCAGGAAGUUGCAUUCUCUGUCCCAAGGAACCAGUAUUUUCUAAGCUCCCGGGGGCCCCAGGUUAACCCAUGAUGAUGCCAAGGAGGACACAGUCCCUGCCCUUGGGGAGCUCCAGGCCAUCCCCACAACGGCAGCCCAUGAGCUCUCAGACCACGGGAUCGCUGGCUGCAGGGCAGAGGGGGACGGGGCUGCUGGCACCGGGGGAUCCGACGGGGCUUCACCGUGGAGACAUGAAAUCUGAUAGACUCAGGUUGGGGCUCAUCAAGCUGAGCUCAGCAUGGCUGACAUCUGGGGCCAGAUACUCUUUGUCAUGGGGACCGUCCUGUGCCCCAUCACUGUGGAGCCACACCCCUAGCUUUGACCGGUAGGCUCCACACCGCCAAUUUCUGACAAUGAGCAAUGUCUCCAGAUAGCUGCAAACGCCCCCUGGAAGCAGAAUUACCCCUCGUAGGGAAACACUGGCUUUGAGGAAGGAGCAGGAAGUUUUCCGGGUGGAAGAAGCAGGUUCCAUGUGGGGCUGAGAGGUAGGCUGCAGGGAAAGCUAUGAAAGUGGACAGAGAAGCUUCAACUAGCCUGGAGAGCCUUGCCUAGCUCGUGGGGAAAUUUGGACUUGGUCCUGUAGGCAGCGGGGAGCCGUGGAAGGUUAUUAAGCAAGGAGUGACAUGAAAGGCUUGCUGCUUAGAAAGAUCACCAUUAGUGGCGUGGAGGUGUGGAGAGUGGCUUGGAGGCUACUGCACUGAUCCAAGCAAGAGGAGACACGCACGUACGCACGCAAGUAGGAGUGUCGCCAGGCGAGAUGUGUGACGUGCUCCAGGAAUUUGGGGUGAGGGGAUGCUGAAGACAGGAGUACCUGCCCGUGGGUGCUCUGUGGGCACCUUGAAGAGGGCAGCCAGGAGGGAGGGGGCAUCGCUCCCUGCUGGGAUGCAGCAGCGCUGCGAGUGAAGCUGGCCAUGGGGGGGUCCACCUUCCAGACGCCCUGCUGAAGGACCCAGGCAGAGCUCUGAGGCCGCAUGCCGGGAAGGACACACUCACACGUGGUUCAGGAGGGCAUGUUAGAGGACGGUGUGCAAGCGGACCGUGCGUGCACGUGCCUGUCAGGGACCCCCGGAUGCCGCUCCCCGCCCCAGUGUUUACAGGUGUCUCACCCCAGAGGGCCUUGCAGGUGCCCAGAGAACAGGCCAAGAGCUGCCCUGCCCAGGGGCCACCCCAUCAGCCACAACAAGCCCAGGAUUUAGAGUAGGCGUAAGUCCCAACAUGGGAAGCCUGAUUUCAUGUGGCCAGUCGUGGGAAUGUGGGUGAGUGCAGGUGACACGGGCGCAGUGUGGGGGCAUCUUCCAUGGCCCCUUCCACCGUCGCUCCACUCCUGUCCGCCCCUCGCCCCAGUCGGGCCGUGAGGUCCCGGGGCACACACCCAGGAACAGGCGGGGGCUCCGCGGCGGCACGCCCCACAUGCCUUGCUCUGUGCCUGGCACGGAAACGGGGCUCGAAGGAGAUGCGUGAUUCCAAGCUGCCGCCGCGCCCGUUAGACAAGUCCUGGAACUGUUCCAUGAACACACCUUUAAGAGACUGGCUCCUUCCGCUGAGCUAUGCGAACAGUCAGCACCUUUUUAUCCGAAGAGAGAACUCUCCGCCUUUUUAUCUGACUUGUGGAGACUCCGCAGGGCCUGAGAUUCAAGCAAAGGGCCCA